UGCUUCUUCGAAGCCUUCUGGCUUGCCAUUAAGAAUCAAUAAUAACUUUUCUCCUUCUUCUUCUGCAAGCAAAACGUAAUCCUCAAGGUAUUUGGGCUUCACGACUUGUCUCUCACUUCUUUGUAAUGGUAUCUCUUCAGCUACAUCCUCACUAGACUCUCCUUCGACCUUCUCCUCUUCGGGAACCUUCACGAUAGGUUCGCCAUUAUCAGUUAUAGCUUCUGUUACGAAUUGAUCGUUCUCAA
This 245-nucleotide long non-coding RNA is filed under the name Brassica napus (rape). RNAcentral's name for it is "long non-coding RNA (BNAP_LNC007025)". Lineage: Eukaryota; Viridiplantae; Streptophyta; Magnoliopsida; Brassicales; Brassicaceae. The record is from RNAcentral.